Molecule: ribosomal RNA, 497 nt
Filed under: uncultured bacterium
Lineage: Bacteria
Description: partial 16S ribosomal RNA
Rfam family: Bacterial small subunit ribosomal RNA
Source: RNAcentral
GAUGAACGCUGGCGGCGUGCCUAAUACAUGCAAGUCGAGCGAACGGACGAGAAGCUUGCUUCUCUGAUGUUAGCGGCGGACGGGUGAGUAACACGUGGAUAACCUACCUAUAAGACUUGGAUAACUUCGGGAAACCGUAGCUAAUACCGGAUAAUAUUUUGAACCGCAUGGUUCAAAAGUGAAAGACGGUCUUGCUGUCACUUAUAGAUGGAUCCGCGCUGCAUUAGCUAGUUGGUAAGGUAACGGCUUACCAAGGCAACGAUGCAUAGCCGACCUGAGAGGGUGAUCGGCCACACUGGAACUGAGACACGGUCCAGACUCCUACGGGAGGCAGCAGUAGGGAAUCUUCCGCAAUGGGCGAAAGCCUGACGGAGCAACGCCGCGUGAGUGAUGAAGGUCUUCGGAUCGUAAAACUCUGUUAUUAGGGAAGAACAUAUGUGUAAGUAACUGUGCACAUCUUGACGGUACCUAAUCAGAAAGCCACGGCUAACUACGUG